UCCUCCAUAGCUCAAUUGGCAGAGCAGACGGCUGUUAACCGUCAGGUUCCUGGUUCGAGUCCAGGUGGGGGAG
Molecule: transfer RNA, 73 nt
Filed under: Streptomyces sp. BK022
Lineage: Bacteria; Bacillati; Actinomycetota; Actinomycetes; Kitasatosporales; Streptomycetaceae
Description: tRNA-Asn
Rfam family: tRNA
About the family: Transfer RNA (tRNA) molecules are approximately 80 nucleotides in length. Their secondary structure includes four short double-helical elements and three loops (D, anti-codon, and T loops).
Source: RNAcentral